Gorilla gorilla gorilla (western lowland gorilla) is the source of this 2373-nucleotide non-coding RNA. The record is from the annotation of a RefSeq genome assembly. Lineage: Eukaryota; Metazoa; Chordata; Mammalia; Primates; Hominidae.
UAGUGACUAAAAAUAUAUACCAGUGGAUAAAUGAAGUCAGGGAUAUACUUGAAAUUUUUUCUGCCAGAGUAGAAAUGACUCCAAAAUAUAUGAUAAUGCAGCUUUCAUGUAAUCCUAGCUACUGGGGAGGCUGAGGCAGGAGUAUUGCUUAAACCCGGGAAGCGGAGGUUGCAGUGAGCCAAGAUCAUGCCACUGCACUCCAGCCUGGGUGACAGAGUGAUACUCUGUCUCAAAAAAAAAAAAAAAGAUAAUGCAGCUUUCAAUAUUAUAAGCUUUAUGUUAUCACACGUCUAAGUGAUAAUCAAAUGUGUUACACCACUUUAUACCCUGAGAUCCAAAAUACAUAAAUAUUUGACAGUUUGUACAAGACUGUAUUAAUAAGAAAAUGUGGCACAUGUAUAAAGAAAGGAACCUCACACAGAUUAAGGAAAAUGACAUUGAUUACAAAUGUCCUCAGCCUGAGUUGGCUGCAUUGCCUUUGUACACUUCAGCCCUCUGAGCUGAAGUGGGAGUGGUUUCUCUCCUGAAAAUGUUUCUGAGGCCCAAAUAGCUGAAGAGGUGGAGACAUUACAGAAACCAACUGAAGUCCCCAGAACUGGCAGACAUCUGCCUGAUGCUGCCAUGGGCCCCCAGCUCCUUGGCUAUGUGGUCCUUUGCCUUCUAGGAGCAGGCCCCCUGGAAGCCCAAGUGACCCAGAACCCAAGAUACCUCAUCACAGUGACUGGAAAGAAGUUAACAGUGACUUGUUCUCAGAAUAUGAACCAUGAGUAUAUGUCCUGGUAUCGACAAGACCCAGGGCUGGGCUUAAGGCAGAUCUACUAUUCAAUUAAUGUUGAGGCGAUUGAUAAGGGAGAUGUUCCUGAAGGGUACAACGUCUCUCGAAAAGAGAAGAGGAAUUUCCCCCUGAUCUUGGAGUCGCCCAGCCCCAACCAGACCUCUCUGUACUUCUGUGCCAGCAGUUUAUCCACAGUGCUGCACAGCCAGCUGCUCUCUGCACAAAAACGGAGGGUAGCUGCAAGAACAAGGAGACUCCUCCUUCAGGAGACCCCUCGCCGACCAACAGGAUAAACUUCCUCCAUCAUCCCACAGAAGCCCUUCCCCACUCACCAGCCUCAGGGACUCUGCAAUGCAGCCACUCUGCGGAACCAGGGGUCCAUCCUCUACCUGCUGUACCAAUGAGGUUUCAAAGUUGGGCGGGACAAGCUCACUGAGUUAGGUCUAGUGCCAGGAUACACUCUCUCACCCUUUCUUCUUGUGGAGCUUAAAUCUUUAAAUUCAACUAAACUGUUGCCCAAACUGAAGACUCCAUUUACAAUCUAAUGGGUCUCAACAAUAUUUGGUUCUGUAUUCCAGGUCCUAUUUAUUCUGGAGGUUUUGUCACUUGGAGGAACACCAUGUUUGGAGUUAUUUAUGAAACCCAGCACCUCCUAUUUUCUUCCUUUCAGCAGAUGGUCCAAAUGCCCAAGCCAGAGAUGCAAGACUGAUCUUCACUCUCUCUCUGACUUUCUCCUUCCACACCGAAUCCGCUACCCUAUCCCGCAUUUUUCUAAGUACUAAAUUCCUCACAAAUUUUACUAACUUUUCUAACUUCACUGAUCUCACCUGGAUCACUUUAGCCACCUUCCAAGUAGCCACCCUACCUGCAAGCCUGCACCUGCCCCCACCCACAACCACUCCCUCAAGCUUAAAACCCUUUGGCUUAUUUCUAUUAACUAGCUAAAGUCUCAAGUUUAUGUUAGUUUGCAAGUCUCUCAGCCCCUCCAUGAUGUGACCUUUGCAUAUCCCCCACCUUUCUAACACUGACUUCCCCUAUCCUUCAACUACCACAACUGCCUGCAUCUACUCCAGAAACAUCCCAUUUCUCGCACGUCCCCAAAUAUGUCCACUGCUGACUCACUCCUGGGUCUUUAUCUACAAUGGUCAGUCUACCCAGAAUACCAUUUCUCUCUCUGGUAUUCAUCUGUUCUUCCAGCUGCUCUUUUUGUGCAGACUGCAGCUGGCUGUGCAGCACUGUGGAUAAACUGCUGGCGCAAAUGUACAGAGAGGUCUGGACUGGGCGACUCCAGGAAUGGGGGAGAUUCUCCUUCAUAGACCAAUUUAGAAGUCACUUCCUCCAAGACGAUUGCCUUGAAUCAUUGACUGGGUUAUUUCUCCGCUGUGUGUUCUUCUAACAGCCUGAACAGAGCUAACACCAACACCGAGACACCACCAUGAACUCACCAGCCAUUGACUUCUCUGUUCUAUAGCUUUUUGCCUCUUUGGAAUAGGUAUGUCAUGGGUGCAGGUAUGACGUCCUUGAACUUGGUUUGCUAGACCCUACAUUAAGCCUUUUUCCGGUGGUUACACAUCAGUAUAUUUCCUAAGUUCUCUCUU